RNAcentral lists this long non-coding RNA (732 nucleotides) under Pan troglodytes (chimpanzee). RNAcentral describes it as "long non-coding RNA NONPTRT000225". Lineage: Eukaryota; Metazoa; Chordata; Mammalia; Primates; Hominidae. The record is from RNAcentral.
CGGAAAACUACUUUCACACCAGCUAUGGUUCUGAGCCCUGGCCAUGCACCAGAAUCACCUGUGCAAUUUGAAAACUGCACAUGUCCACCCUGAAAGUCUGAUUUGGGUCUGGGUUGAGGCCCGGAUGUGGGUAGUUUUUAAAGGUCCCUAGUGGUUCAGAAGCAUAGCCAGGGUACAGCUGGUCCACACACAUCCCCAGCACUCUCAUCCCUGACCACAGCUUCCAAUUGCCAGUUGGUUGACAAUUCCCAAAUUGCCUUUGCCAGCGCAGCUCUCUCUGCUUCCUUCCAGGCUACAAAUUCACCGGCUUCCUGAACAUUUCCACUUGGAUAAUCCACAGGCCCUUCCAACUCAACAUGUCCAACACUGAACUCACGAGCCCCUGCCUUUCCUCCCAGGAGCCGGGAUGUACCCCUCCCCCAGGGUGCAGACUGGCUGCCAAGGCCACACUUUUGGCUAAAAGAGGCACUGCCAGGUGUACAGUCCUGGGCAUGCGCCGUUUGAGCUUCGGGGGAGAGCCCAGCACUGGUCCCCGGAAAGGUGCCUAGAAGAACACGGUGCAGGACCCCGUGGUGAGUAGCGGGCUGGUGGAUGGGGAGGCAAGGGCCAGAGAACCAAACGGCCCUAGACCACAAGGAGGUAGGAGGCAGGGCCUGAGCUGCCCUCAAGAGACCUGCUCCCGGGCUCCCCCUAGCGCAGAGGGCUCCUAAGGCUGCCCUGCCUGCCUUUCCC